This 447-nucleotide ribosomal RNA is filed under the name uncultured bacterium. Its description in RNAcentral is "bacterial SSU rRNA". It matches the Rfam family "Bacterial small subunit ribosomal RNA", at positions 329 to 792 of the family's 1533-position model. The record is from RNAcentral.
UCCCAGACUCCUACGGGAGGCAGCAGUGGGGAAUAUUGCACAAUGGGGGAAACCCUGAUGCAGCGACGCCGCGUGGGUGAAGAAGUAUUUCGGUAUGUAAAGCCCUAUCAGCAGGGAAGAAAAAUGACGGUACCUGACUAAGAAGCACCGGCUAAAUACGUGCCAGCAGCCGCGGUAAUACGUAUGGUGCAAGCGUUAUCCGGAUUUACUGGGUGUAAAGGGAGCGCAGGCGGCACGCUAAGCCUGAUGUGAAAACCCGCGGCCCAACCGCGGGAGUGCAUUGGGAACUGGCGGGCUGGAGUACCGGAGGGGCAGGCGGAAUUCCUAGUGUAGCGGUGAAAUGCGUAGAUAUUAGGAGGAACACCAGUGGCGAAGGCGGCCUGCUGGACGGAGACUGACGCUGAGGCUCGAAAGCGUGGGGAGCAAACAGGAUUAGAUACCCGUGUA